RNAcentral lists this ribosomal RNA (819 nucleotides) under uncultured Pseudomonadota bacterium. Its description in RNAcentral is "bacterial SSU rRNA". It matches the Rfam family "Bacterial small subunit ribosomal RNA", at positions 70 to 866 of the family's 1533-position model. The record is from RNAcentral. Lineage: Bacteria; Pseudomonadati; Pseudomonadota.
AAAGUCCCCUUCGGGGGACAAGUAGAGUGGCGCACGGGUGAGUAACACGUAGGUAAUCUACCUUCGGGUGGGGAAUAACAACCGGAAACGGUUGCUAAUACCGCAUAAUGCAGCGGCACCUAAUGGUGACAGUUGUUAAAGCGGGGGAUCGCAAGAUCUCGCGCCUGAAGAGGAGCCUGCGGCGGAUUAGCUAGUUGGUAGGGUAAUGGCCUACCAAGGCGACGAUCCGUAACCGGCCUGAGAGGGCGGUCGGUCACACUGACACUGACAUACGGGUCAGACUCCUACGGGAGGCAGCAGUCGGGAAUUUUGGGCAAUGGGCGAAAGCCUGACCCAGCAACGCCGCGUGAAGGAUGAAAUCCCUCGGGAUGUAAACUUCGCAAGAACGGGAAGAAUAAGUGGAAGUUAAUACCUUCCAUGAUGACGGUACCGUUUGUAAGCUCCGGCUAACUCCGUGCCAGCAGCCGCGGUAAUACGGGGGGAGCAAGCGUUGUUCGGAUUUACUGGGCGUAAAGGGCGCGUAGGCGGCCUCCGCAAGUCAGUUGUGAAAUCUCCGAGCUUAACUCGGAAAGGUCAACUGAUACUGCGGGGCUAGAGUGCGGAAGGGGCAACUGGAAUUCUUGGUGUAGCGGUGAAAUGCGUAGAUAUCAAGAGGAACACCUGCGGCGAAGGCGGGUUGCUGGGCCGACACUGACGCUGAGGCGCGAAAGCUAGGGGAGCGAACGGGAUUAGAUACCCCGGUAGUCCUAGCCUUAAACGAUGAAUGCUUGGUGUCUGGGGUUAUAUAGUCCCCGGGUGCCGUCGCUAACGCUUUAAGCA